Long non-coding RNA from Phasianus colchicus (ring-necked pheasant), 721 nucleotides. RefSeq lists it as uncharacterized. The record is from RefSeq and is a predicted model, not a curated record. Lineage: Eukaryota; Metazoa; Chordata; Aves; Galliformes; Phasianidae.
GUCCAUUGUGAGCUCCCACAUCUGGCAAAGCUGUAGGGAUGGCUUUGCCCCAUGGUUUGCUCUUCUCUGCUUUUCCCUUUCUCUUCCCGUGCUUUUGAAUGCCUGCUAUUUGCAAACCUGCUGUUAAACUCUGCUACCACUGAACCCAUAUUAACCUGGAGGCAUUAGAGAAAUCGGUUGGAAAGCUCAAAACAUUCUUGAAGAGAGCCUUGCUUGCUGACUCUCCCAAUGGCUUUGCUGAGGUUUCGAUGCCCAACUCUUGUGAGUGUGGUGAGCCUUGGGGACUGUUCACAUUCAAGCAAUCCUAUGGGACAGCUGUGAUGGCGUUAGCUGGCUUCCAAAUAUCCCAACUGUGCUGGAGAAAGUUGGUCACCAAUUCUGGACUCAAGGAAAGUCAACAGCUUUGAAGCGGUUGAUGUGGCAUUUCUACUUCUGGACUUUUAGGAACUCUUCCUUGAUUUUGCAGAGAAUCUGUUCAAAUGUACUCAGUGGUUGUUGAGAUCCGAGGUUGCCUGUCACACCAAUAAAAUCUUUCUGUUUCCUUCUCCAUGGUUUUGGAAUGAGAAACACCUCAUGGCUCACUGCAGCAGGAGAGAAAGCUUCAGUGACACAGCUGCUGAGUGCAGGUACUUCUCCCAGAGCAUCAAACCAUUUUGGAUGACUUAUUCUAGGGAACCAUUAUGUUCUUGUGGGCACUGCAUAAGUGGAAAGAAAAAAUAAU